Molecule: ribosomal RNA, 523 nt
Filed under: uncultured bacterium
Lineage: Bacteria
Description: bacterial SSU rRNA
Rfam family: Bacterial small subunit ribosomal RNA
Source: RNAcentral
UGGGGAAUCUUGCACAAUGGGGGAAACCCUGAUGCAGCGACGCCGCGUGAGCGAUGAAGCCCUUCGGGGUGUAAAGCUCUUUCGGCAGGGAAGAUUAUGACGGUACCUGCAGAAGCAGCUGCGGCUAACUACGUGCCAGCAGCCGCGGUAACACGUAGGCAGCAAGCGUUGUUCGGAGUUACUGGGCGUAAAGGGUGCGUAGGCGGUCCUAUAAGUAUGGUGUGAAAUCUCCCGGCUUAACUGGGAGGGUGCGCUAUAGACUGUGGGACUAGAGUGUGGGAGAGGAAAGUGGAAUUCCUGGUGUAGCGGUGAAAUGCGUAGAUAUCAGGAGGAACACCGGUGGUGUAAACGGCUUUCUGGACCAUAACUGACGCUGAGGCACGAAAGCGUGGGUAGCAAACAGGAUUAGAUACCCUGGUAGUCCACGCCCUAAACGAUGCAUAUUUGGUGUGGGUCAUUCAGUUGAUCCGUGCCGGAGCUAACGCGUUAAAUAUGCCGCCUGGGGAGUACAGUCGCAAGGCUG